This 806-nucleotide ribosomal RNA is filed under the name uncultured organism. RNAcentral's name for it is "SSU rRNA". It matches the Rfam family "Bacterial small subunit ribosomal RNA", at positions 28 to 805 of the family's 1533-position model. The record is from RNAcentral.
GACGAACGCUGGCGGCGUGCUUAACACAUGCAAGUCGAACGAAGAGCGAUGGAAGCUUGCUUCUAUCAAUCUUAGUGGCGAACGGGUGAGUAACGCGUAAUCAACCUGCCCUUCAGAGGGGGACAACAGUUGGAAACGACUGCUAAUACCGCAUACGAUCUAAUCUCGGCAUCGAGGAUGGAUGAAAGGUGGCCUCUAUCUAUAAGCUAUCACUGAAGGAGGGGAUUGCGUCUGAUAGCUAGUUGGAGGGGUAACGGCCCACCAAGGCGAUGAUCAGUAGCCGGUCUGAGAGGAUGAACGGCCACAUUGGGACCGAGACACGGCCCAGACUCCUACGGGAGGCAGCAGUGGGGAAUCUUCCGCAAUGGACGAAAGUCUGACGGAGCAACGCCGCGUGAGUGAUGACGGCCUUCGGGUUGUAAAGCUCUGUUAAUCGGGACGAAAGGCCUUCUUGCGAAUAGUUAGAAGGAUUGACGGUACCGGAAUAGAAAGCUACGGCUAACUACGUGCCAGCAGCCGCGGUAAUACGUAGGUGGCAAGCGUUGUCCGGAAUUAUUGGGCGUAAAGCGCGCGCAGGCGGAUUGGUCAGUCUGUCUUAAAAGUUCGGGGCUUAACCCCGUGAUGGGAUGGAAACUGCCAAUCUAGAGUAUCGGAGAGGAAAGUGGACUUCCUAGUGUAGCGGUGAAAUGCGUAGAUAUUAGGAAGAACACCAGUGGCGAAGGCGACUUUCUGGACGAAAACUGACGCUGAGGCGCGAAAGCCAGGGGAGCGAACGGGAUUAGAUACCCCGGUAGUCCUGGCCGUAA